RNAcentral lists this ribosomal RNA (465 nucleotides) under uncultured bacterium. RNAcentral's name for it is "partial 16S ribosomal RNA". It matches the Rfam family "Bacterial small subunit ribosomal RNA", at positions 338 to 795 of the family's 1533-position model. The record is from RNAcentral.
CCUACGGGUGGCAGCAGUGGGGAAUAUUGCGCAAUGGGCGAAAGCCUGACGCAGCGACGCCGCGUGAGGGAUGAAGGUCUUCGGAUCGUAAACCUCUGUCAGCAGGGAAGAACGGUCACUGUGUUAAUCAGCAGUUAAUUGACGGUACCUGCAAAGGAAGCACCGGCUAACUCCGUGCCAGCAGCCGCGGUAAUACGGAGGGUGCGAGCGUGAAUCGGAAUUACUGGGCGUAAAGCGCUCGUAGGCGGUAUGGCAAGUCAAGGGUGAAGUCCCCGCGCUGAACGUGGGAACGGCCUUGUAGACUGGCAAACUAGAGUGUGUGAGGGGUAAGUGGAAUUCCAGGUGUAGGAGUGAAAUCCGUAGAUAUCUGGAGGAACAUCAGUGGCGAAGGCGACUAUCUGGCACAUAACUGACGCUGAGGAGCGAAAGCGUGGGUAGCAAACAGGAUUAGAUACCCGUGUAGUC